GGAAUUGAACUCAGAACCUCUGGAAGAGCAGUCAGUGCUCUUAAACCACUGAGCCACCCUCCAGCCCAAGCCCUUUCUAAGAUUCUGUAAGGUGUGUGUGAAGGGGAGGUGGGGCAGGGUAUUGAGACUUAUUUUUUCAGAAGUCCAUUCUCUUCCAUGGUAUUUAUGAGGAAGGAGCUCUCUUGUUCUACAGCAUAGCAAUGUGAGUUUCUGUUUGAUUCUCCUGUCUCCACUUUCCAUCUCAUUGUAGGAAUGCUGGAAUUACAGACAUGAGACACCACAGCUGGCUUUUAAAACUGGUUCUUGGAAUUCAGAUCAUCUGGCUUGAGCACAGAAAUUACAUCAGCCAGCUCCCUGCUCUGGCCACUGACUGCUGCCAUUUCUUCCUCACCCAUAUGGACUCCUCUACAACCAUAAGCCAAAAUAAACUCUUGAACAUUGA
Non-coding RNA from Mus caroli (Ryukyu mouse), 442 nucleotides. The record is from RefSeq and is a predicted model, not a curated record. NCBI's taxonomy places the organism in Eukaryota, Metazoa, Chordata, Mammalia, Rodentia, Muridae.